UAUCAUCAAAAGGCCCAUUCCUACAGGUGAGGUUCUUACCAUAAUUAUUACAGCUAUAAUAAAACAAAUUAUGCUUGUAAAUUCUAUGUGCAGUAAUAACCCACCUUCCACUUGGGAUAAUGAAGAGGAACUCAUUUUUAAUUCUAAACAGUAACAAACCCCUCUUUUUAAUGGAUUUUCAGCAAAUCCUUCCAUUCCACUUUCCCAAGUGUAUCUGGUCCUCCGGAUGAAAUCAGUGCAUAGUUAUUUUUAGAAUCCUGAAAUACACAAGAUAUAAAUUGAAUCUUGCCCGUCUCUCUGUAUGACUGGGAAUCACAAGCUGGAGCAGCAUUUUGGGAUAGUUUUCUUGGUAUUUGCAUUUAAGCCAAACUAAAUUUAUUUCAUACAAGUACAUAAAGAGAAACUGGCUACUCUCACCUUUCCAUCCUUACAUUUUUGCUUGCCAUAUCAAUUUCUGAAGGAUCUGUUUAAUUUUCCAAGGAUCCUGUAACAUUUCCAUUUUCCCAGGUCUUAGCUUAACCUAAGAUGGCUACUUAGCCUAAGUUGACGAAGGCUGCCUCGGUGAAAUGCUCUCUAAUUGUUUCUUUAUUUCUAAUUGUUCUCUGUGACUCACUACGGAUUUCCUACUCACGAGACCAUCUGCUAAAAAUUAAGGAACAUUUCUUUAAGGAGCAGCUUUCUUUAAUCUCACCCCCGCCUGUCUUUACAAACACGGAGGAGAUUCUAACACAGGAGGAGGCAAUUCCCACGGAGCCAUGGAUUACUAAAAAAACCAAACGACGGAAACGAGAUCUUGUUGAAGGCGACGAAGUUCCAAGUUUUCAAGACCCAGGAUAUCAAGUCUGGUGGAAUAAGGUAUUUUAUUGGUUUCGGAGGAGUGGAGAAUUCUUCUCGUAAAAUACCUUUGGCCACGCUCAACUGUGUUGAUGUCAGAUAUAUGGUAUGGGUUCCAGACAGGAGAGCAGUAAUCAAGAAUUGGCCUAACAAAUGUUUUAUAUGCUCUGAGUCAGUUUGGUGUAGCGAUUAAACCACCAAGCUAGGAACCGGAAGAUUGUGCAUCCAGGUCCUGCUAUAGGCACAAAGUCAGAUAGUUGACCUUGAGCCAGUCACUUCUCUCAGCCCUAGGAAGGAGGCAAUGGCAAACUGCUUCUGAAAUCUGUACAAGGAAACUGCAGGAACUUGUCCAAGCAUUGCUAUGAGUGAAGGCUGUCCAAAACCAUGCGUGUACAUUGUACACACCUGCAUGCACAUUAUUUACUAUUUAUUCAAAAUGCACUUUAAAAAGCUUUCGAAGUUUACCUGAACUGCGAAGACAAGAAUGCUGAUGUUAAAAAAUUCUAAAACAAUUGAAUUUACAUCUUUUUUGUUUAAAUGAAGCCAGCAUCACAGAUAGGCCAAACAAUUGGAGUCUGCAUAUAUGAAAACAUUCUGUAUGGAAAGGAACUUUAAAAUCCACAUUAAGGGUGGGGCAGGGUAUAAUUUUCAUGACAUUUUGUGGGCUAAAAAAAUAAAUGAGAUGAAUGAGAAUGAUUGAGCACAAUAUCUGGCACCAUCG
This is a long non-coding RNA of Ahaetulla prasina, 1555 nucleotides long. RefSeq lists it as uncharacterized. The transcript is spliced from 3 exons. The record is from RefSeq and is a predicted model, not a curated record. Lineage: Eukaryota; Metazoa; Chordata; Lepidosauria; Squamata; Colubridae.